Leptinotarsa decemlineata (Colorado potato beetle) is the source of this 301-nucleotide long non-coding RNA. The record is from RefSeq and is a predicted model, not a curated record. NCBI's taxonomy places the organism in Eukaryota, Metazoa, Arthropoda, Insecta, Coleoptera, Chrysomelidae.
UCUCUUAUAAUCACCAGUAAAGAAAGUAUCUGAAGAGACCACUGAAGAUUAUGCACCACCAUUUCAUGCAUUGAAGAGAAGAAGCUUAAACCUGGAGGAAAAUCAUACACCUGCAGUUCAUGAAUUGGAGAAAAGGAGCCUAAACCUUAAGGAAAGAGAUGAGAAAUCAUCUGGAUUGUCAGCUCCAGCACUAACCAAUGGAAGAAGAAUUUAUUUAGGAGGAGGAAAAUAAAACUGAAUGAAAUUUCAUGAAAAUGAUGAAAUGAUGAGAUGUUUCAAAAAUAAAGUAUUAUUGGUAAAA